GAUGAACGCUAGCGGCAGGCCUAAUACAUGCAAGUCGAACGGUAAGUGUAGUAGCAAUAUUAUACGAGAGUGACGUACGGGUGCGUAACACGUAUGCAACCUACCCUUUACAGGAGGAUAGCUCGGGGAAACUCGAAUUAACCCUCCAUAACAUAUUGGUGUGGCAUCACAUUAAUAUUAAAACUCCGGUGGUAAAGGAUGGGCAUGCGUCUGAUUAGUUAGUUGGUGCGGGUAACGGCCCACCAAGACGAUGAUCAGUAGGGGAACUGAGAGGUUGAUCCCCCACACUGGCACUGAGAUACGGGCCAGACUCCUACGGGAGGCAGCAGUAGGGAAUAUUGGUCAAUGGAUGGAAGUCUGAACCAGCCAUGCCGCGUGCAGGAAGAAGGCCUUCUGGGUUGUAAACUGCUUUUGCCAGGGGAUAAAAAGACCGUGCGGGUUAAUUGAAGUACUUAAUGAA
Molecule: ribosomal RNA, 460 nt
Filed under: uncultured bacterium
Lineage: Bacteria
Description: bacterial SSU rRNA
Rfam family: Bacterial small subunit ribosomal RNA
Source: RNAcentral